RNAcentral lists this microRNA precursor (238 nucleotides) under Sorghum bicolor (sorghum). Its description in RNAcentral is "miR6217a stem-loop (sbi-MIR6217a)". It matches the Rfam family "MIR6217 microRNA precursor family". The record is from miRBase by way of RNAcentral. Lineage: Eukaryota; Viridiplantae; Streptophyta; Magnoliopsida; Poales; Poaceae.
GUAGCUGGCUACAAAAUAUGUUAUUCUGUAGCCACUUUGAGUUACGAUAAUUACUAUAUUAAUUUACAAGAUUAUAUUAACUCCUUACUAAGUGGUUUACUAUAACAUUACGGUAAAUAUCCUCAUGUGUUAUAGUAACCCAACUAUCGUAAAUACAUAUACAUAUUAUCGUAAAUUAGUAUAUAAAAUUAUCGUAAAUAGAGGUGGCUAUAGAAUAACAUAUUUUGUAGCUAGCUAC